GCCCCUGUGGUAUAGCCUGGACAGAAUGCGAGCUUCCGAAGCUUGAGACCUGGGUUCGAAUCCCAGCAGGGGCG
Molecule: transfer RNA, 74 nt
Filed under: Candidatus Burarchaeum sp.
Lineage: Archaea; Nanobdellati; Microcaldota; Candidatus Micrarchaeia; Candidatus Burarchaeales; Candidatus Burarchaeaceae
Description: tRNA-Arg
Rfam family: tRNA
About the family: Transfer RNA (tRNA) molecules are approximately 80 nucleotides in length. Their secondary structure includes four short double-helical elements and three loops (D, anti-codon, and T loops). Further hydrogen bonds mediate the characteristic L-shaped molecular structure. tRNAs have two regions of fundamental functional importance: the anti-codon, which is responsible for specific mRNA codon recognition, and the 3' end, to which the tRNAs corresponding amino acid is attached (by aminoacyl-tRNA synthetases). tRNAs cope with the degeneracy of the genetic code in two manners: having more than one tRNA (with a specific anti-codon) for a particular amino acid; and 'wobble' base-pairing, i.e. permitting non-standard base-pairing at the 3rd anti-codon position.
Source: RNAcentral